RNAcentral lists this ribosomal RNA (425 nucleotides) under uncultured Stenotrophomonas sp. Its description in RNAcentral is "bacterial SSU rRNA". It matches the Rfam family "Bacterial small subunit ribosomal RNA", at positions 354 to 771 of the family's 1533-position model. RNAcentral also lists the same sequence under 1 other name. The record is from RNAcentral. Lineage: Bacteria; Pseudomonadati; Pseudomonadota; Gammaproteobacteria; Lysobacterales; Lysobacteraceae.
GUGGGGAAUAUUGGACAAUGGGCGCAAGCCUGAUCCAGCCAUACCGCGUGGGUGAAGAAGGCCUUCGGGUUGUAAAGCCCUUUUGUUGGGAAAGAAAUCCAGCUGGUUAAUACCCGGUUGGGAUGACGGUACCCAAAGAAUAAGCACCGGCUAACUUCGUGCCAGCAGCCGCGGUAAUACGAAGGGUGCAAGCGUUACUCGGAAUUACUGGGCGUAAAGCGUGCGUAGGUGGUUAUUUAAGUCCGUUGUGAAAGCCCUGGGCUCAACCUGGGAACUGCAGUGGAUACUGGAUGACUAGAGUGUGGUAGAGGGUAGCGGAAUUCCUGGUGUAGCAGUGAAAUGCGUAGAGAUCAGGAGGAACAUCCAUGGCGAAGGCAGCUACCUGGACCAACACUGACACUGAGGCACGAAAGCGUGGGGAGCAA